UUUUAAUGCAACCAUGAGUCAUGCACUCAUGCCUAACUUGUGAUCGUUUGUCUUAUUUAAAAUUUUAUUAUAAUUAGUAUUUUUAUGUUAUGAGAUGAUAAAACAUAAAUAAUACUUUAUACGUGACUUAUGUUUUUAAUUUUUUUUAAAUAAGAUGUACGAUCAAAGUUGGACACGAAAAAUUAUGGCUGCAAUUAAA
Molecule: non-coding RNA, 199 nt
Organism: Oryza meridionalis
Lineage: Eukaryota; Viridiplantae; Streptophyta; Magnoliopsida; Poales; Poaceae
Source: Rfam